GACGAACGCUGGCGGCGUGCUUAACACAUGCAAGUCGAACGGAAAGGCCCUGCUUUUGUGGGGUGCUCGAGUGGCGAACGGGUGAGUAACACGUGAGUAACCUGCCCUGGACGUUGGGAUAACUUCAGGAAACUGGGACUAAUACCGGAUAGGAGCUCCUGCUGCAUGGUGGGGGUUGGAAAGUUUCGGCGGUUGGGGAUGUACUCGCGGCUUAUCAGCUUGUUGGUGGGGUAGUGGCUUACCAAGGCUUUGACGGGUAGCCGGCCUGAGAGGGUGACCGGCCACGUUGGGACUGAGAUACGGCACAGACUCCUACGGGAGGCAGCAGUGGGGUAUAUUGCACAAUGGGAUGAAGCCUGAUGCAGUACCGCCGCGUGCGGGAUGACGGCCUUCGGGUUGUAAACCGCUUUCGCCUGUGACGAAGAGUGAGUGACGGUAAUGGGUAAAGAAGCACCGGCUAACUACGUG
RNAcentral lists this ribosomal RNA (468 nucleotides) under uncultured bacterium. RNAcentral describes it as "partial 16S ribosomal RNA". It matches the Rfam family "Bacterial small subunit ribosomal RNA", at positions 28 to 507 of the family's 1533-position model. The record is from RNAcentral.